GGAGAGGUGGCCGAGCGGUCUAAGGCAACAGCCUGCUAAGCUGUGGCGGGUUAAAGCCUGCCUCGCGGGUUCAAAUCCCGCCCUCUCCGCCA
This 92-nucleotide transfer RNA is filed under the name Candidatus Calescibacteriota bacterium. RNAcentral describes it as "Candidatus Calescamantes bacterium (hot springs metagenome) tRNA-Ser". It matches the Rfam family "tRNA". From Rfam's summary of the family: Transfer RNA (tRNA) molecules are approximately 80 nucleotides in length. Their secondary structure includes four short double-helical elements and three loops (D, anti-codon, and T loops). Further hydrogen bonds mediate the characteristic L-shaped molecular structure. tRNAs have two regions of fundamental functional importance: the anti-codon, which is responsible for specific mRNA codon recognition, and the 3' end, to which the tRNAs corresponding amino acid is attached (by aminoacyl-tRNA synthetases). tRNAs cope with the degeneracy of the genetic code in two manners: having more than one tRNA (with a specific anti-codon) for a particular amino acid; and 'wobble' base-pairing, i.e. permitting non-standard base-pairing at the 3rd anti-codon position. Lineage: Bacteria; Candidatus Calescibacteriota. The record is from RNAcentral.